AGAGCGAACGCUGGCGGCAGGCCUAAAACAUGCAAGUCGAACGAGCCCUUCGGGGUUAGUGGCGGACGGGUGAGUAACACGUGGGAACGUGCCUUUUGGUUCGGAACAACUCAGGGAAACUUGAGCUAAUACCGAAUGUGCCCUUCGGGGGAAAGAUUUAUCGCCAUUAGAGCGGCCCGCGUCUGAUUAGCUAGUUGGUGAGGUAAAGGCUCACCAAGGCUUCGAUCAGUAGCUGGUCUGAGAGGAUGAUCAGCCUCACUGGGACUGAGACACGGCCCAGACUCCUACGGGAGGCAGCAGUGGGGAAUAUUGGACAAUGGGCGCAAGCCUGAUCCAGCCAUGCCGCGUGGAUGAUGAAGGCCCUAGGGUUGUAAAGUCCUUUCGACGGGGAAGAUAAUGACGGUACCCGUAGAAGAAGCCCCGGCUAACUUCGUGCCAGCAGCCGC
RNAcentral lists this ribosomal RNA (446 nucleotides) under uncultured bacterium. Its description in RNAcentral is "SSU rRNA". It matches the Rfam family "Bacterial small subunit ribosomal RNA", at positions 26 to 518 of the family's 1533-position model. The record is from RNAcentral.